Long non-coding RNA from Falco peregrinus (peregrine falcon), 3261 nucleotides. RefSeq lists it as uncharacterized. The record is from RefSeq and is a predicted model, not a curated record. The transcript has 6 exons. NCBI's taxonomy places the organism in Eukaryota, Metazoa, Chordata, Aves, Falconiformes, Falconidae.
CAAGUCUGCCAAUUUUCAGGUAGAUAAGCCGUGGACUUCUGCAUCAUACCUGAGAUCUGCUCCCAUAUUCACACAUGGCCCUUUUGGGAGCCGAUCAGUUUAAUGUAGACCUCAUUGCUUCCCUCCUCAACAGGACGCACCAUUGCUUUUUUGGCAUAGGCAUCAUUGCUCAAAGUUUCCUCCAGGUAUUCCCUUCAUAGCACACCAGCACGGCCUGGCAGCUAUAGUUCCCUUGAUGUAUUUGUCGGAAAACGCUCCGGUGAAAGCAAGAGAAGGGCCUGGUCAUCGCACAUGGCUAAGGAAGUUUUGGUGUCAGGUCUCUGUUCCUUCAUAAGAUCUUCAAGACUGCUGUUAUUUCCAGAUCAGCUCAGCGAGAACUGAGACAUCCGACUCCCUCUGCUUUUGAAGUGCUUGGCUUCACAAGACUGGAGAUAGGUGUGGGCUGGUGUUAAAUUUGCUUGCAAAAUGGAGACAAGUCCAGUGGAAAAUUUGAUGUUUAUUGUUUUCUUCAAGCUUCCUACGAUUUUCAAGCAGCUGUAGGUGAAACUUGAGGUAUUAAAUAGCCACGUCAUCACCAAACAAAAGAGCAAACGUAGAACUAUGGCUACCUUUUUUCUUAGAAGGCCAGGAGAGCUCCUUCUUGAAGGAAAAGGACACCUAACGGAGCAUGCAACCUGUAAUUUAUACUUCACCGAGAAUUCUGGAAAACUAGGGAAGUUAGUAUCCAAAGAUCACAACUGCAUCCACCUUCCUAACAGGCAAUACCAAAACAUAACUUCCCAAAUGGAAUUUCUGCAGUUUUGGGAGGAUGAGAUCUUUUGGAAUUCAAACUUUAUCCACAUCUUUCCACAUCCAACUGUUCUCACAGUAAGACGGCAAAAAAGAGAUUGUCUCUCAUGCAUGGAUCAAGAAAGCAGUGUUCUAAACCACAAGGUGAAUGAAUCGGGCACUGUGUGUGAAAACAGAUUAAGCAGCAGAGAUCACAAGCUCAUUUUCCACCUCACAAAGGUGUGGGGCUGAUGGUGAAUGGGAAGGGACAGUUAUGAAGAAAAUACGAGCAAAUCACGGAGUUCUUUACAGCGCUGAAUCAAAGCAUCAGAUAAAGGAGGAAGGAGUGGCUGGCAGCCUGACUUUACUGCCCCAAAGCUUGCCAUAGCAGGCUCAGCUCAGCUCUGUAGAGCAUUCUCAUGCCAUUGCUGAAGGUGGGGCAGAGGAUGCUCGGCUCUUUGAUGUGUCUAUGUAUUGAACAGCAAUGACCCCUUUAGAUGAGCAGGAAGCUUUUACACAGGAAUUUGUUUAAUGUUGUAACCCAGUCCAGUUCCAACAGUUACAAAGGGUGAAAUUUCCUUUUGUUUUAGAUCUCUGUUCAAGUUUGGGGCUUCAUGCGUUGCCUGUGCGGUGAUCCUGUGUAAAGUCCUGGCCUCAUUUUGAUUUACGGUCAAAGCCCUAUAGACUCCAGGUCAGAAUUUUACCCCAUUCUCUCCUGACUGGCUAUAACUGGUUCUUACAGAUGUAAUCAACUCUAGAUAAAUUAAUCAUGCUUUUUACACCUUUUUUUAAGACUUAAGCUACUGUCUGACACAUCCUUGCUAACUACUUACCCAGACUAACUACACUGUAGUUGCAUUUCAGCAAUGUACAUAAUUUUACUGGUGGAAACGUCAUAUAAAGUGUAAUUUUGAAAAGAGAAUUAAAAAAUCUAAUCUUACGUAAUUCAGUUGAAUAGUGGCUUAUUCUAGGACUACUGCAGCACCUCUCAUGCCUUUGGCCAUGGUAUAUACAUCACUAUAUAUUUACUAUGUUGAAGUAAUCUAUUUUCUUGUGUUCACAUUCUUUUAAAGAACCUUCAGGUAUUUUAGAAUUGUCACCUGCCUCAAAAUGUGGGCAGUCAGUAAGAGAAGAAAAAUUAUGGCAGAAGCUCAGUCUUAGCCAUUCAUGAUUUCUUAUGGUACUUGCUUCUGAGAGCAAUCUGAAGGUCUCUAGUGUAAGAGAGGUGUGAGGCCUCUAGAACUUUGAAUGUUCAUGUUAUAAAGUACAUACACUGUGAUGAAGUCACUGCCCAAUCUGUUCUGUGACAAACUAAAAAUACAUGGUUUAAGACUUUUAAGGCAUUGUUUUGUAACCUUGGAACCACUUUUUGCAGCUCUUGUCUCAGUUUAUAUCAACCUGCCAUCAUAGAAGUGUUCUAGUGUGGAUCUCUCCAGUACUGUACACAGAGGUUUAAUCAACACUGCACUUCUGCUGAUGACUCCCUUACUGAUAACUCCAAACACUCCACCCCUUUUCAUUAGUGGUAACAUCUUCUUGAGUUGUCUCCUGGCUAAGACUCAUGGGACUUUUCCAGUGCAAAGAGCAAAUCUAGUAAAGACAUAAAGAUGGAACCUCCACCCUUGGAGAUAUUCAAAAGCUGUCUGGACACAGUCCCGGGCAACUGCUCCAGAUGAACCUGCUUUACCAGGGGUGGCUGGACAAGAUGAGCUCCAGAGGUCCCUUCCAACCCCAACCAGUCUAUGAUUCUGAAAUUACGUGCACAGUUUAAUUGUUUUGAAUUCUAUGAUUUCAAACCUUUUACAGUAAAACAUACACAAAAAACAUGUUGCACUUGGCAUCCUCUAAUUAAAAUAUAAAAAUCAAGGCAGAGUUAGGGGACACUCCCAAGUACCCUGAAGUCAGAGGCAAAACUGUCUUUACUGUGAUUUCUCUAUAGUCAUCUAGUGACUGGCAGAGCUGCAAAUGAUCUCUAGAGAACAUUUCCUUCCUUUAUCACAGAGCAUCCAGCAGAAAAUUACCAGCAUCAAAAUGUUUUAGUAAUAAUGGCAAAGUAUUAUCUGAAUCUUAAUCAAAAGAUUACAGAAAAAACAUGUUCAAACAAAAGAGGUCAAAUGUUUUGGAACUUCAGGAGUAUAUUCUUCCCUUGGUAUUUGCUGUGUUCCAUUAAAAAUAAUGGAAGUUCUGUAAGCACAAUCCAGUAGAAGAAGGACAUAUCACUAAGCUUCUAGCAAUAUUGUUUUAACAGCUUUUGAAACAUAUCACUAGGAAGCAGAUGUGGCUCGUAUUAAGAAAGUACUGGAGUUAAUAUGUCAAAACUCUUCAUAGUUCCUUCAGGUAAAAGUAAGCAUAAUAAAAAAGUUAUCAUUUUUGUCAUAUUUGCUUCAGUUUUAAUAGCACACAUCAAAGACUGACAAUACGAAGUAACAUGCGUUACACACUGACACACCUUCCAUUGCACAUGAACACAAAUGUGACUUAUUAGUUUUAAUG